AAUGAUUGGGAAACUCAUCAAAUUUUAACGAAAUACCGAGACAAGCUACGCCCCUCGAUGGCGGGCCUCGCGCCUCAGGGCGUUGUCCCUCCGGGGGCACGGAGGAUUACAAAGAGAGGCGGGCACUCAAAUCCUGUCAUUCGGAGUUUCAUCACAUAUCCUUUGAUGUGGCUUCUU
Molecule: small RNA, 177 nt
Filed under: human gut metagenome
Description: Bacteroidales-1 6S-Bacteroidales RNA suggested
Rfam family: Bacteroidales-1 6S-Bacteroidales RNA suggested
Source: RNAcentral